This 52-nucleotide small RNA is filed under the name Amorphus orientalis. Its description in RNAcentral is "ffh sRNA". It matches the Rfam family "ffh sRNA". Lineage: Bacteria; Pseudomonadati; Pseudomonadota; Alphaproteobacteria; Hyphomicrobiales; Amorphaceae. The record is from RNAcentral.
GAUCCGGGAGGCCACCACCCGCCAGCGAGUUUCGCCCGCGGGUGCGUUUUGC